CGGAUCUGCUGCACAGAUAUACACACGGGGAGAACAACUGCAGGACGAGAAUCAUAAGCUAACGGUUGAUAUACACAGAGAAUUAAAGUUCAUGACGACGAGAUCGGAACACAGAUCGGACAACAAUUGUUACCUUACAGAAGCAACUAAUCCCAGCUUCCCAGAUGUAUGAUAAAACAAACGAGAACGGAUAAGUAAAACAUAAGGAACCCUUGGAAA
Molecule: long non-coding RNA, 219 nt
Filed under: Linum usitatissimum (flax)
Lineage: Eukaryota; Viridiplantae; Streptophyta; Magnoliopsida; Malpighiales; Linaceae
Description: long non-coding RNA (LUSI_LNC000603)
Source: RNAcentral